GAUUCUUUUCUAUCCACUCCAAUGCGCCCUCAAUCUCGUUAGGAAGGCUCAAAUCGCAUUGAAGAGGAUAAAGCUUGCCAGCUUGUUUAUAUCAUUGGCGAGGCCGACGACUUUGAGUCCCUUCGAUACCAAUUCCUCCACGACCGCCUUGCCGAUACCAUUGCAAGCACCGGUGACGAGAGCGAUUUUGUUUGCUACAAGAUUCAUGCUGAAGAUUUUAAGCUAGCUCACGUAACGUCGAAGCGAGAGAAAAUUGCUGCUUACUGCCACGUAAGCUUCUGCAUGCCCAUCCACAUCCUCGACAUCUCUUUAUACCACGCUGAAAGUUUGGCCCUCGAUUAGGGGGUCGCGCGUAAUCUACGAGUAUUCCAGAUUGGAACAAUACAGCUUUCUGGAUGAUGCAUUCUCGCAUUAAAAAUAGCGCAGGACUGAGGAUGCUGAUGAAAAUUUGCGCGAGGAUUUCUGAAGAAGAUGAUAAGGCGUUCCGCGAUAUCUUCAUUAGGAAUAUUGCAUCAGAAGUUUCAACGUUAAGAAUUUCUUGUGAAUCAGUCAACGACCUGUUUCAUCAAUAAAUCUGCAUGCAAAGUUUGAUGCAGUUGGAAGUGAGGAUUCGCAAGUGACCACAAGUGUUGCGUGAGAACGCGUCUCCGCUCAUUUAUUUCUUUCGCUCGUCUUACGAGCGAUUCUUUCAGUCCAUGGAUCAUCGCUUUCUACACUCAACAAUCAUUACAGAAAUCUUUUACAAUACUGAAAACAUGACGUCAAUGAAAAAUGACAACAGGCAUCAUCGUUCAAUAAGUUUCUCAUUACAGUCUCGUUGCAAUGAUAUUCAAGAAUAUGUAAGAUUUAUUAUAUUUUAUUUAAGUAAACUCUAAAUAAACUCAUAUUAAGUACAA
Long non-coding RNA from Pogonomyrmex barbatus (red harvester ant), 896 nucleotides. The record is from RefSeq and is a predicted model, not a curated record. Lineage: Eukaryota; Metazoa; Arthropoda; Insecta; Hymenoptera; Formicidae.